AUGCACGCUGGCGGCGUGCCUCAUACAUGCAAGUCGAGCGAACAGACGAGGAGCUUGCUCCUCUGACGUUAGCGGCGGACGGGUGAGUAACACGUGGAUAACCUACCUAUAAGACUGGGAUAACUUCGGGAAACCGGAGCUAAUACCGGAUAAUAUAUUGAACCGCAUGGUUCAAUAGUGAAAGACGGUUUUGCUGUCACUUAUAGAUGGAUCCGCGCCGCAUUAGCUAGUUGGUAAGGUAACGGCUUACCAAGGCAACGAUGCGUAGCCGACCUGAGAGGGUGAUCGGCCACACUGGAACUGAGACACGGUCCAGACUCCUACGGGAGGCAGCAGUAGGGAAUCUUCCGCAAUGGGCGAAAGCCUGACGGAGCAACGCCGCGUGAGUGAUGAAGGUCUUCGGAUCGUAAAACUCUGUUAUUAGGGAAGAACAAAUGUGUAAGUAACUAUGCACGUCUUGACGGGACCUAAUCAGAAAGCCACGGCUAACUACGU
RNAcentral lists this ribosomal RNA (495 nucleotides) under uncultured bacterium. RNAcentral describes it as "partial 16S ribosomal RNA". It matches the Rfam family "Bacterial small subunit ribosomal RNA", at positions 29 to 506 of the family's 1533-position model. The record is from RNAcentral.